Molecule: ribosomal RNA, 440 nt
Filed under: uncultured bacterium
Lineage: Bacteria
Description: partial 16S ribosomal RNA
Rfam family: Bacterial small subunit ribosomal RNA
Source: RNAcentral
CCUACGGGAGGCAGCAGUGGGGGAUAUUGCACAAUGGGGGGAACCCUGAUGCAGCGACGCCGCGUGGGUGAAGAAGCGCCUCGGCGCGUAAAGCCCUGUCAGCAGGGAAGAAAAUGACGGUAACUGAAGAAGAAGCCCCGGCUAACUACGUGCCAGCCGCCGCGGUAAUACGUAGGGGGCAAGCGUUAUCCGGAUUUACUGGGUGGAAAGGGGGCGCAGACGGCGAUGCAAGCCAGGAGUGAAAGCCCGGGGCCCAACCCCGGGACUGCUCUUGGAACUGCGUGGCUGGAGUGCAGGAGGGGCAGGCGGAAUUCCUGGUGUAGCGGUGAAAUGCGUAGAUAUCAGGAGGAACACCGGUGGCGAAGGCGGCCUGCUGGACUGCAACUGACGUUGAGGCCCGAAAGCGUGGGGAGCAAACAGGAUUAGAUACCCCAGUAGUC